GACGCGUAAGCGCCGUAGGCAGGAGCGGGGGACCCAGGUAACGCCGCCGGGUCCGCACCGGCCCCCUCCGAGGGGGCGUACGGGACCGGCUAGGGGUGAAGCCGUGCGCAAGGACGCACGGCCGGGCAACUCAUCAGCCCGAACCCGACAGCUCACCUCGUAGGCGUCGGUGAGGAGAUUC
Molecule: small RNA, 181 nt
Filed under: Streptomyces sp.
Lineage: Bacteria; Bacillati; Actinomycetota; Actinomycetes; Kitasatosporales; Streptomycetaceae
Description: c-di-AMP sequence
Rfam family: c-di-AMP riboswitch aptamer (ydaO/yuaA leader)
About the family: This family represents a conserved RNA structure found upstream of the ydaO and yuaA genes in Bacillus subtilis and related genes in other bacteria. The ydaO/yuaA element is thought to act as a genetic "off" switch for the ydaO and yuaA genes in its native state.
Source: RNAcentral